Molecule: long non-coding RNA, 3301 nt
Organism: Pan troglodytes (chimpanzee)
Lineage: Eukaryota; Metazoa; Chordata; Mammalia; Primates; Hominidae
Exons: 2
Source: RefSeq, a predicted model, not a curated record
CUCUCUAUACGGUGUAGUUCCCACAACCAGCUGUCACAGAGCCUUGGAUAAUGCUGUUUCACGAGUGCCGCCUUCUUCAUUCCUAGUGCUGUGUGGAAGGGUCCCAGGUGUUGACCCAUAACCCCUGAGAGGUGGCCAAAUGGCCCAGGACCCCUCCCGCCUGUGGCCUUUCCACUGAACUGAGUGCAUCCUGCUGCUGCUUCCACUGGGGAAGCCUCAAUGUCCUCUCAUUAAGGCAGCAAGGAAAGACACUCUGCCUUCCUGGUUUCCCACCAGCCAUUACCUGGAACUAUUCUUUGUUCUGCUGUAGAGCACAUUUUACUCAACUUUUUAAGGUCCUGUUAAAACCAAAUUGUUUUUCUAUUACGAGGUGACCUUUCGCGGGACCCGCCAGGGCCCAGAUUCCAGCAGUGCAGAGGGUUGGGAUGACUCCAGGCAGCAGGAAGCAGCAGCGACAAAGGACAGAGAAGGGCACUGAGUGAUCUGGAAAGACCGGGGGGGACUGGGGGUUUGGCUCAAAUAAUACAAAAGCGGCUUGUGAUCAAGUGUGCCAGUCUUGGUUUUGCUUCCCACUGGAGUGUCCACAACUGUGCUGAGGACAACUCAGGCCCAUGAGGUUUGCUCAAAUGGAGACUUUUAACAGUGGAAAACGCAGACACUGUCUGGACUGGAAGUGUAAUUCAGACUGUAUUUCAAGACGUCACAUCUUCAGGGAUCAAGAAAAAACAAUCACUCCUUAUUUGAACACAAUUAGGUAGGUGUGUUCUAUCAUCCUGGCCACAUUUUUAUAAACAAAUAUACUGCAAAUCUGAAAACAGUAAGGACGUCAGGAGUUAAAGUGCUAUAAUAUGUAACUAAACUAGAAGGAACUAAAUUACAAAUUUACUCCUGGGAGGCAUUUUAUUUCCUCUCAAGUUUCAAGCAAUAAACAUCUAUCAUUUAACAAACCAGCUGGUCAUAUCUGCCCUCCUUUACCAAGUCUUUAACCCUGCUCGACAUGAACAGCUAAGGACAAAAGGCAGAGAUCCUUUAUCCGGGUUAAAUCCACUCUGGGAAAGUGUUAAAACUUUCCACCAGUAAUUCUACCUUUAAAUCAUCAUGUUGUAGAUAGUUUUUUCUGUAAGGUGUUUUUAUAUUCAAUACCUUCACAGUAUGAAUGAGAUUCUAAGAUCAGUAAUAUGCCUAUGUGAUUAAAACCGAGCUGUGAAGUCAGUUUGACGCUUGAGAUCUGCUGUCACCACAGCCUACUUCUGGGGCAAAUGUCCCAAUUGUGAAAUUGAAGUUAUUGGGUCAGUUUUUAAACUCACUGUGUUCCCCUGCUUCUUCCCCACGACUCGAGCUCCAUCCAAAACAAUUAUCAAUCAGCAAAAUCAAGUUUUCACUCAUGGAAGGCACUGGCAUUCUUUUCUAACCAAGAUCAUUGAAAAACUUGACCACAGUUUCCAAGGAGUACAUAUAAAAAUAAUUGUAUUGGGUUAUUCCUGAAGAUUAACCAAGAACGCUAGCAAACCUCAACUGAGUUUUAUACAGUGGUGCAGCUGGAGUCCUGAAGCCCAUGCAUCAUACCAUCAGAGCAAAUGAUUGAUAAAAACAACAAAAAAAAAUUUAAAGACUGAUACUUCCUUGCACCAUCUAAAAUGAACAAAAUCCCACACUGAGGAAAGUAUUAUCCCAAGAUACUUUCCAUCAAAACAGACUGCUUAAGUAACUGUGGAUUUUAUUUCACCCUCCAGAGUUCAUGUCCACACCUAUUAUGUCUUAUGUUCUGACUAAACUGCAUUUGAUACAGAUGCAAAUAAUUUUAUGAAAGUAUGACUUCUUGUAGCAUAACUUCCUUCCAAGACAGUUAAUAUUCAAGCAAUACAAAAGGCCAAGUCUUUCUUCUUCACUUAAGAUCUUUUACAUCAACAGCUUCCAAAAGAAAAUUCCUCCAAUUUAAAAUACUUGAAAGUAGUUUACUAAAAGCAGACACUACUUUUUGUGGGGAAGAAUGGUUAACAUUCAGACUCAGGAUUCCAAAGUGUUUUGGCUUUUUCUUUUUCUUUUUUAAAGGGUGAAUUUUACAGGGAUCUCCUUAAGAGGUGACUUAGCCAGAAAACUUUCUGGAAGUAAUUACUUUUGUAAAUAUAAAUUCCACACUAAAAGCAUCAAUAUUUGUAACUCUUAAAAUUCUAGGAAAACAGAACGCACUAAGUUUUAUUGGUAAGAUACAAGUUAUGCAGCCAAGAUAUUAUCCCUGGCACCUGUAACUUUUUUUGUUUUUAAAGCCAAACAAAAAACCCAGCUUAAACUCUUCUAAAUAUUUUUAUAUGUGAAGUUACUCAAAGUAUUUUAUAUACAUGUGUUAAAUGAGGAAAAAAGAAUUUAUCAUUUCUUGUACUCUGGCAUGAGAACCAAAAACCUAAUAAAAUAAUUCAGAUUAAGCAAAACUUAAAACACACAUUUAAACAAAAUCAAAACAAGAUGCCAGAAAUUACAACGAAAACUAAAGCAACAUAUCUUUAAUUCAAAACUAAAAAACUGGUCAGUUAAUAUGGAAAUAAUUAUAUAUCUAUUGAAACCAAGAACAAUUUCAUGUAGAACAUUCAGGUAAUUGGCAGAAAAAAAAAUCCUGUUUUAAUGACCAAGAAUGACUCCCAAUACCCGACAUCAUCACUUUCAGUAUGUAAUGGUAAAAGGGGGGCAAAAAAAAUCACCUUUUCCCACAGGGAAGAGAGUGGUGGGAGUGUAGGUGAGCUAAAGAUGCCCAUCUAUGCUCACACAGACACAAAAAAAAUAAACACACUCUUGUGACGAGUGUGGCAAAUCUAAGGACUGUCAACUACAUAAAAGACAGAACCAUCAGAAGUUCCAGGAAAUUAGUAAAGUCAUGGUCAGUAUACAAAUUAGGAAAACCAGGGAUGAGCAGCUUUGAAGUAAUGUGCAUCUUGGCUGAAAUAUUUCAACUGUGAUAAUCACAGAAACAUCAGUCAUGUACUGUGUACCUGCAACAGUGGCUCAACCUGUUAGGUCUACGUAUUACCUGCAACACUUAAGCAGAAGUGCCGGCUCCAACCAUAUUUUUGUCUAAAUUAGCACCCUCGGGCUUGGGACCAGGAAUGUAUAGUUUGGGAAGGCUGCAUGGUGAGUUUAAUAUGUGCAAAAUGUGAACUUCUAAUCACUGGUCAACCAAAACAAAUCCUCCUUCUAAAGGAAGAAAAUAAAACCCCCGAAAGUCAGCAGGACUCUUUAAACCAAAUUUAUGUAGUUAACGAGGAUUAGGAAACAAGGAAUCCUCAGAAAUGCUUUUCAGGGUAAUUAA